Molecule: ribosomal RNA, 1367 nt
Filed under: uncultured bacterium
Lineage: Bacteria
Description: bacterial SSU rRNA
Rfam family: Bacterial small subunit ribosomal RNA
Source: RNAcentral
GACGAACGCUGGCGGCGUGCCUAAUACAUGCAAGUAGAACGCUGAAGGAGGAGCUUGCUUCUCUGGAUGAGUUGCGAACGGGUGAGUAACGCGUAGGUAACCUGCCUGGUAGCGGGGGAUAACUAUUGGAAACGAUAGCUAAUACCGCAUAAUAAUAGAUGUUGCAUGACAUUUGUCUUUAAAGGAGCAACUGCUUCACUGCGAGAUGGACCUGCGUUGUAUUAGCUAGUUGGUGAGGUAACGGCUCACCAAGGCGACGAUACAUAGCCGACCUGAGAGGGUGAUCGGCCACACUGGGACUGAGACACGGCCCAGACUCCUACGGGAGGCAGCAGUAGGGAAUCUUCGGCAAUGGACGGAACCCUGACCGAGCAACGCCGCGUGAGUGAAGAAGGUUUUCGGAUCGUAAAGCUCUGUUGUCAGACAAGAACGAGUGUGAGAGUGGAAAGUUCACACUGUGACGGUAUCUGACCAGAAAGGGACGGCUAACUACGUGCCAGCAGCCGCGGUAAUACGUAGGUCCCGAGCGCUGUCCGGAUUUAUUGGGCGUAAAGCGAGCGCAGGCGGUUACAUAAGUCUGAAGUAAAGGCUGUGGCUUAACCAUUGUACGCUCUGGAAACUGGUUAACUUGAGUGCAAAAGGGGAGAGUGGAAUUCCAUGUGUAGCGGUGAAAUGCGUAGAUAUAUGGAGGAACACCGGUGGCGAAAGCGGCUCUCUGGUUUGUAACUGACGCUGAGGCUCGAAAGCGUGGGGAGCGAACAGGAUUAGAUACCCUGGUAGUCCACGCCGUAAACGAUGAGUGCUAGGUGUUAGACCCUUUCCGGGGUUUAGUGCCGCAGCUAACGCAUUAAGCACUCCGCCUGGGGAGUACGACCGCAAGGUUGAAACUCAAAGGAAUUGACGGGGGCCCGCACAAGCGGUGGAGCAUGUGGUUUAAUUCGAAGCAACGCGAAGAACCUUACCAGGUCUUGACAUCCCUCUGACCGCUCUAGAGAUAGACUUUUUCUUCGGAACAGAGGUGACAGGUGGUGCAUGGUUGUCGUCAGCUCGUGUCGUGAGAUGUUGGGUUAAGUCCCGCAACGAGCGCAACCCCUAUUGUUAGUUGCCAUCAUUCAGUUGGGCACUCUAGCGAGACUGCCGGUAAUAAACCGGAGGAAGGUGGGGAUGACGUCAAAUCAUCAUGCCCCUUAUGACCUGGGCUACACACGUGCUACAAUGGCUGGUACAACGAGUCGCAAGUCGGUGACGGCAAGCUAAUCUCUUAAAGCCAGUCUCAGUUCGGAUUGUAGGCUGCAACUCGCCUACAUGAAGUCGGAAUCGCUAGUAAUCGCGGAUCAGCACGCCGCGGUGAAUACGUUCCCGGGCCU